GGCCCGGUUGGAUGGUCUGCUCUAGGGCUUGUACUGUCCUGACUGGGUCUUACCUUCUGGUGAGCUGUCGUGUUGUUUACUCAGUGCGGCAGGGAACCAGGACUUUUACUUUGAAAAAAUUAGAGUGUUUAAAGCAGGCUUACGCUUGAAUACAUUAGCAUGGAAUAAUAGAAUAGGACU
RNAcentral lists this ribosomal RNA (180 nucleotides) under uncultured Glomeromycotina. RNAcentral's name for it is "partial small subunit ribosomal RNA". The stretch from base 48 to 180 matches the Rfam family "Eukaryotic small subunit ribosomal RNA", at positions 694 to 829 of the family's 1831-position model. Lineage: Eukaryota; Fungi; Glomeromycota. The record is from RNAcentral.